GUGCCCCUACAUCCCCCAAAAUAAGUGGAAACAUCAGCCUUCGUGUCAUCUGUGUAUUAAUUUACUAUAGUACACGUGCUGCUGGGCUACCUGAAAUAUGUGGAAAGAAACAACACAAACAUCCUCACAGAGGUGACAACAACAACAACAACCAAAAAAAAAAAAAAAUUCCUUCAAGGGGGCAGGGGCAAGGAAGGAAGACUCAGCUAUUCUGUCAGGUAUACUUGAGAGAAAUGCUCUAGUACUCUGAGCAGUACCGACAGCAUGAUCCUGGCUGAACAGAAGAUGAAUCAAUGGGUAAGCAGUUCCUUUUGCAGUAAAAAGUGUUAAACUCGUUGAGCCUUGUGCCGCUUUGAAGUUCGCAGGCAUGACAUUUUUCGUGUUUUUAUUACAUUUUAUUUUUUGUGUGUUUGAGCUACUGCUUAGUCAAGUAGAUGCUGUCAAAUCCUGAUAAAGCAAACUCCAACAUCCUACAGUUAAAUGAUGAUAUAAUGCAACACGCACAAAUGAUGAUAUAAUGCAACACGCACAAACUGUGAGCUUUUUUUUGUUGUUGUUAUUUUUCCUUUUUUAGUCACUUAGGGCAUCUUUUAAAUACAUCUGAGAGUUUAACCACAAGGCUGUCGCUGCAGUUUACAAACAAGCUUAGGUAGUUACUUAGUUAACUCAAAAUGAUUGGAGAAAUGAAGACAACUUGUGAUUUCCAGCGUUCUGUACUUGCAAGACAGCCAGUAUUUCAAUCUGAAGAAAUUUUGCUUUAAUGUGCUUCACCUUCUC
This 777-nucleotide long non-coding RNA is filed under the name Anser brachyrhynchus (Pink-footed goose). RNAcentral describes it as "lncRNA (ENSABRG00000002874.1)". The record is from RNAcentral. Lineage: Eukaryota; Metazoa; Chordata; Aves; Anseriformes; Anatidae.